UGAUGAUGAUGAUGAUGAUGAUGAUGAUGAUGAUGAUGAUGAUGAUGAUGAAAAAGAUCUUCAUCCUGAUCCUCAUGAAGAUGAUGAUCAUGAUCA
This 96-nucleotide small RNA is filed under the name Mytilus galloprovincialis (Mediterranean mussel). Lineage: Eukaryota; Metazoa; Mollusca; Bivalvia; Mytilida; Mytilidae. The record is from RNAcentral.